RNAcentral lists this ribosomal RNA (466 nucleotides) under uncultured bacterium. RNAcentral's name for it is "partial 16S ribosomal RNA". It matches the Rfam family "Bacterial small subunit ribosomal RNA", at positions 28 to 507 of the family's 1533-position model. The record is from RNAcentral.
GAUGAACGCUGGCGGCGUGCUUAACACAUGCAAGUCGAACGAUGAAGCCCAGCUUGCUGGGUGGAUUAGUGGCGAACGGGUGAGUAACACGUGAGUAACCUGCCCUUAACUCUGGGAUAAGCCUGGGAAACUGGGUCUAAUACCGGAUAGGAGCUCCUACCGCAUGGUGGGUGUUGGAAAGAUUUAUCGGUUUUGGAUGGACUCGCGGCCUAUCAGCUUGUUGGUGAGGUAAUGGCUCACCAAGGCGACGACGGGUAGCCGGCCUGAGAGGGUGACCGGCCACACUGGGACUGAGACACGGCCCAGACUCCUACGGGAGGCAGCAGUGGGGAAUAUUGCACAAUGGGCGAAAGCCUGAUGCAGCGACGCCGCGUGAGGGAUGACGGCCUUCGGGUUGUAAACCUCUUUCAGUAGGGAAGAAGCGAAAGUGACGGUACCUGCAGAAGAAGCACCGGCUAACUACGUG